RNAcentral lists this transfer RNA (72 nucleotides) under Phrynosoma platyrhinos (Desert horned lizard). RNAcentral describes it as "tRNA-OTHER". The stretch from base 9 to 72 matches the Rfam family "tRNA". From Rfam's summary of the family: Transfer RNA (tRNA) molecules are approximately 80 nucleotides in length. Their secondary structure includes four short double-helical elements and three loops (D, anti-codon, and T loops). Lineage: Eukaryota; Metazoa; Chordata; Lepidosauria; Squamata; Phrynosomatidae. The record is from RNAcentral.
GCCAGUGUGGCAUAGUGGUUUAAACAAUGGACUACGACUCUGGAGACCAGGGUUCAAUUCCCCGCUCAGCCA